CUGGGUGUGCUUUUAGAAACUGAUGUUGGCCAGGAUAUUUUGCCUCAUUAUUUUAUGUUUCCAGUUCUGUUCUAAUUGUCCUGUCACCUUAUCUUCACACCAUUUUGUCUCCAUCUUCUGCAGCAAUUAAAAAUGUCAUUCCUUUAACCCCCGUUUUGCUGUUUCUUCUGGUGUUUUCCACACAUUUCCAUUCUCCUGCAUUUAUAAUUGUCACCAGCCUCUGUGCAAUGACCUGCGUCUGGGUACGAAACAUGAUAAAAUCAUUAAAUUGCAGCUUGCUUUACUCUGUACUUUUUUUUUUAACUACUUUUACCAUGAUGGGGUAUGUGGUUGCAUACACAAAUUCCAGGAGAUGCAGUCACCGCUGCAGCAGCGAGAUCCUGGAAGCGCCUGCUUUCUGUGCACAGAUUUCUUUUGCUAUUACACAUGGUAAAUCCUGGAAUCGCUGCAGCUUGGAAAUUGUCCCAGACAGGGCACACAAGGGAGAUUGGGUGUCACAGACUGGAAUCAACCCCACCUACAUUUAGUGACAAAAUCUUGGAUGCGAGUUCUAGCCUCAAGAUGGGAAGACAAGAGGUGCUCAGCUAGUAUUAUCUGGUAAUGUGAAGCUAACUACAGAUAGAAAAGGCUUCCUGUGUCCAGAAAAGAAGCCAUUAGAUUGGAUUAUACUGGACUGAGACAUGAAGGAUUAGUGAAGAGGCAGCCUGACAGUGCUGUUUUGCUGGUUACAAGCAUCCAAAGACCUUCCCCAAGAACUGUGUGUUUGCAAAUAGGAGUAAUUUGGAGCUCAGCUGUUAAGACUGGCUUUGGACAUUUCUGGGUGCCCAGAACUGGAGUUCCGAAGCCUGUGAACGUGUUAGCAGGUAUUCAGCACAUGCUGUGUAAGGGUAACCAGUGGCAUUGCUUCUUUCAGAGAAGUAACCUCUAAAAAUUAUAUCACUGGUCAAACAUUCUCACCUAUCUGCAUGCCCAUGAGCAGGUAUUUCUUUCUUUCAGCGUUCAUGGUGAAAUUCUGGAGAGGUACUAAGAGGACAGUCAGCACUGCUUUUAGCUUGCACGCCCAAUGGAAACUCGUACUUUGGCAUUGUCAACUCCAGGUAGGUUGGCCAUCGAGCCAAGUGCAAGCAGGACCAGAGCAAAACCUCCCCAGGCUUGGGCAAGAGAGCUGGGUGUGGGGGUGCCACGGCACACCUGAUGCUGUUGCUCAGACCACUUGCAGUGAGGCGAAGGCCUAGGCCCAGAGGCAAUGCUAAAGUCUACGGUGAAACUGCGGAGACUAUGCAGACACAACUGGUAAUUUGUUAUCUUUGAAUUAAAGUGUUGGUAGGAAUUAAGAGGGUAAUAUGUAUCACCUGCAGGUGUGCCGUAAAGAUGCUCUCUUUCUUUUUCAUAUGCUUGUAAGAUAUUUUCCUUAAUCUUCAGUGCAGUUCUCUCCCCAAACCUGGAAGUCUGAUUUGAAAUGACAAUUUGCUCCUCUUCUAGCUAAUUGGAACUAGAGCACAGAUAUUUCACAAGAGGAUAAUGAUGAGCUGGCUUCCCUGCAUCUGCUCUGUUUGUCUCCAUUUUUACGUUUAUACUGUCUCGUCUGCUCUGCAAAACUGCCAGUCAUCUCCUGGGGACACUUUCUCUGCUUGACAGCUUGUAGGACUGUCUGACUUCCCCUCCUCUCCAAUGUAUGCUGUUAGGUCCUGGGGCUGAGACACACCAUCUGGAAGCUGGACCUGUGGACAAGGCAGCUGCUCAGAAAGUGCCUUGUGGUUACAGGUCUCCUCAUUACCCCCGUUGCAACUGGUUUUGAUCUUGGAGGAGUUUGCUGCUAAUGAAGGAGCAUCGCCCUCCUUCCUCUGAGCUAUAUCCUCUUCUUGCUUGGCUCUAGAGGAGUGGUGGCUGAAUUGCUGCUGGGUCACCUCAAUCAACUCCAUUUAUUUAAAGGUUUUAUGUAGCUGAGUAUGAAAGCCUCAGUGGUGGAGGUACCACGAGGCUUCCCUUGCCUAUAGACAAUAAUUUCAUCAUAUUAGUCUUAAUGUCAGACUUCAGCAAUGGCCUUAUGCACUCCUACAACUCCCAGAAUGCAGCAGCCUUACAAGAAAAAAACACUGGACAGAAUAAUUUCUUUUUUUCAUUCCAUAAUCGUGAAAACGGGUCACAACUGACAGGUCUGAGGCAGAGAGAUUUGGAGCACUUGGUUUUCUUUUUUUUAUAGUAUUUUAUAUUGAAAUAGUGGAUGCUACUCUCAUUGCAGGAAGGGUUUUGAGAACAUCUAAAAGGUUAGGACUUUAGCUGGGCCUGAGGACACUUAUAAGCUCUGGUUUUCUGUGCUGCUCUAUCCUAUCAGAUUUCUUUUUCUUUCUUGUUGAAAUACUAACAUAUAAUUGCCUAAUUCGUAGACAUUUGCAAGGCAAGAAAUGGAACAAAGCAGCUUCUGCUCACAUACUUUGGAAACACUGACAUUACAUAAAAAUACAUAUAAAUCAAAUAAGCAUCUCAAACACCUAAAGUGACAUGUAGCCACAUUCAAUUCUUGCACUGCAAGCUGCUAAGCCUACGAAACAGAGUAAAAAUGCAAAGCACGAAGAGAAAAUGUGCCAGCCUCUUUAGAAAGCUGUGCAUAUCAUUGGCAAAGGCUGGUUUACAUUAGUGCCUCUCAGUCCUUUGACUGAUUUGUUUCUUAGGUGUAACAGCUGCCUACAGGUUGUACCUACACAAGCGAAUCGAAUGUGACACAAAGCCAGAACAUUGCGGUACAUUGCUUCUUGUACUAAUAAAUAUUUAAGGAUAAAGCCUAAGUACUUCUUCUUCAGCAUCAGAUCCUUCUCUGUUGCAACUGGCAAAAAAGAACUUGCAAAUUGCUAUGCGUAACAGAAAAUAUAUAAAAAGGAUGUUGAUAAGCUUGUGAUAAUGGGUCAUAUUUUUUUAAUUGAUUUUUGUUUCUCAGUAAAAUUCCACAAACAUUUUAUUUUAUUUAUAAUUUCUAAUAGCCAACUUUGUCCUUCUACUUAUAGGUCAACCAUGAGAGAAUGGAGAAAAAAUAACUGACCAUGCACCACACUUCAAGGUUCUUUUCUUCACGCAAGGAAGGGGAAGAAAAGCAUGUCAGCCAUUCAGGGUUGGAACAUCCCUCUCUCCUCUUCCCUCACUGAGUCUCAAGUGAGAGACUUACCCAUCUCAGACCCCAGUGAUGCUCAUCAGAAAAAUGUCCUGGCUCCAAAUGGCAAUGCCAAACCAUUUCACAAGCUCACCUUGCCAAGGCAGUUCUGUGACUCUGGGAUAAGCAAUCACGACUUUACCAGCAACCCUGAAAAUAAUAUUUGUAUAGUUCACAUGACAAACAGGCAUGGGCAGAAUGCAUUUACAAAACCAGACAAUGUUAAUUGCUUCUGGGAGUGUCUAGAGAUUACUCUACCUGAAAAUAUUUGAGGUUUUUGAUGAAAACUCAUCUAUUGUGGCACACAGACAGCAAAGCAAACAUUUCACUCAUUUCCUCUCUGGCUUUUGAAAUUAAGCAAAAAAAAAAAAAAAAAAAAAAGAGGCACAUCCAUGUUCAGGAGCCCAUUUCGAAACUCCCUAUCCAACUGUGUUGUCUUUCAUGGCUGGACAGUCUUUUGAUUGAGUAGGUCAUAAAUUUGGGGUUUACCUCUAGAAACUCAAGUGCUUAUAACUCUUGGGGCAUUUCUUGUUUGAAAAUUAGGAAUUCAGGAGAAAAAACAAAAAAAGGAGGGAGGGAAAGUAGCUCAAUAGUUUCUUCUAGGAACACCCUCUAUCCUCAAUUCUACAAUGAGAUUUGGCUUCUGUGGACAUUUUUCUCUGAGUUAAGGUAAAGUCUGUGGUGUAAAAGUCAUUGUUUCACUUGCUGUGAAUAUUCUUUCUAUCAGGAAAGACCCUCAAUCAAAGAAUAAAAUCCUAAAGCCAGUUUUUGUGUGGCAAAAUUUUUGUUGAUAAAAAAGAGAAGAAUAAAGUGAAGCAAUGACUUUCCACCAGCUUUGCCCACCUUUAUUUAAUGUGACAGGAAAUUUCCUCUGGUUCAGUGGGAGUAGGAGUAUGUUUGGCCUCACUAUGGGUUUUACUUUUAUUAUUCUGGAAUACCCAUUUAUUUUUCUCAACUACUGAAAGAAAAUUAACACAUGUAAAUAUACUUUCUUAUUUCUGAAUGCUGGUGUGGAGUUAGCUUGGGGAAAGCUUGAAAACUGAUGCUAUCAAGAUUCUGUGGAAAAAAGCAACCAUUUAAAAUUCAUAGUUUCAGGUUUUUUAUGAUACAUGAAUCCAUUCUGUUUCAUUAUAAACUAGAAGGGAUUUUUCAUUGGGAUCCCAGAAGUAAACUCGAAAUGAGAAGAUGGAACAGAGAUUCAGAAUGACUGACUGGGGGCUGUGAUCUUUACAUAGGUUAAUUAAUGCUGCAGACUGAAAGAAGACAAGGAAACAUGGCUAGGAAACAUAUUCCACAGAAAAUACAUUCUGCAGAAAUGUACAUUCACUUUAGCAGAAUCCACAUCUGACUUUCUAAAUAUCUUUGUCUGAGUUCCCAUUAGGCUUACUUAGCUAAUAUAAGUUCACCCUAAGAAUUACCCUUACAUCUUAGGUGGGAGGUAUCGAAAAUCUUGUAAAUACUGUGUUCCUUCCACACUGUCUUGCACACAGGGAUGCCUUGGGCUCUCAUUUGUGGGACAAAUCAGAAAAGAAAUAACACAGAGUUUCAGCCUUGAACAAUGCAAAAGUCUCUGCUUUCUUCUGCCAUGCACACAGACUAUGUCCCAGGACUCCAAAAGUGGAAUUCCGUAAGUAAAUACAAGAUUGGAUUGAAUUUGGUGAGUUCAUGAAGUGGAUUCUCGAUACUGAAGGACUAUAAUUUUGAAAGGUGAUUUAUGAGCUUUGAAUAUUGUUGUCAUCCUCAGUGUUACGAAACACAUGCAUCUAGCCGUGCUGCCUCACAUCCCUUCCAGCUGUUUCAAAAGAGCAGCUAUUGCCAAUCUUCAGGCAAGGUUGUUUUGCACCACAGCAGAUAUUAGAAGGAAGCCUAUGUAAUCAUUUAUAGCACGUGUGGAUCUUAGCACUGUAGCUGAAUUUUUUAGAAUAGGCUGUCAUAAAUUCUGGGAUCACAGAUUUUCAUCAUUAUUCAUGUUCUCAAUCUCAACAAGUUGAAAUAAGUGCUAAAGGACUCCCAGUAUGUGAGCAGUGAGCACUGUAUCUGACAUAUUUUGAAUGUAGUUUAAGACACAAAAAAAGGCAAAAUAAUUGUUAUGCUAAACAACAUGUAGUCACAGUCAAUAGUCCAUGAAGAAGUAAUUUAUGUAGACAUAUCAACAUUGCAAAUUUUCAAUGUCCUCUUUAAAAAGACACUGUUCUUUUUUUUUUUUUUUUUCAGAUGUGAAUGACAGAGGUCUCCGAUUCCCAAGCAAAUGCAAAAGGACCUUGAAAUAAAAUGAUGCCAUAAUGGCUUUCAGCGAUACACUCCUCCCAAGUUUUCAGCACAAUUAUAUGCUUAUUACUUUGGAAGAGUUAGAAAACAAGCAAGCUGCAGCUUUUAAUGAAGCUUUCAUAGCAGUGAGAAGAACUAUGAAAAAGCAUUUAGAGCAGCUCAUCUCCUCCUCUAUUCAGUCUCUCUUUCAUUUCCAGAGGCAGUUGCAAUGAGAAAUUGGAUGCUAUCCAGUUUGGAUUUAUAAGGAAGCAGAAAAGGAGAUAAUGGCGGAAAGGCCAGUGGGCCAUGAUGUUUUAAUAUGAGUCUGCUCUAAUCCUGUGACCUUACAUAUGCACUUGGAAAGAAAUGGUAACCUGGCUUUGUAUGCUAACACGGAACUACCACAGGAGACUGAAGAAUGAAGUCAUUGCUUUGUAGGUGCCUAAAAUUUGACCCAGGGAAUUUAACUUUGGAAAAGAUAUUGCUUGAUGCUUUGUCUGUUUUCAAAAGAAGUGUUAUUCACAGCAGAGUAUAAAACCUGAACUUGAUGAGAACAAAAUAUGGAACAUUUCUGGGUUCCCAAAAAGUUUCUGGACAGCUAUGAAGAAGUCUCAUCGUGCAGCAAGCUAUUAAUAGCAAGAGAGGGUACAAACUGCCCCAAAUCUUCCUUUUCCAGACCUUGAAAAGUCAUAAGUCUUUGGCAUUUUGAGUGACGUUGUGAAUCAAUUCCCUACUCAGGAUUUGACUUUAAAGACCCAGUACAGCCCUAAAUGUCAACUGUGUGGAAAUGGUUCCUCUAUUUGUUUGGUUUAGUUUUGGGUUUGGUUUUUUUUUUCAUCUGAAGUCUGUAUAUAUUUCACUGCUCAGAAGUCAAUGAAGGGGUUUUACAGCAGGUCUAGUAAAGUGCAGUUCUCCAAUUACAACCUAGCUGUAAAAUAUACAGUAGGUUUUUUUCCUUUUUACUUCCAGGCAAUAAGUUUUGGUCACGUCAGUUAAACCCACCUAAAAGAAGGAGAAAGAAAGAGAAAAAUGACUGUUCAGUGAACCUCAGGAGAAUUAUGAAGUUAUACAGCCUCAGAAGGAUUUUAGGCAGUUUUAUAUUGCCCAGCUCAGUUCACAUUUAUAUCAUCUGUCUCAGUGCCUGAAAUGAACUAAGCUAUGUGCUUGAUAGAGAAAAAUACCUCUACUGACUGAUGUAUCUAAAAAUUCUGGCUUCGAUAUGGCUGGAUGAAACACAGAAGAGGGUUGCUAGCUGCACAAACUUAGCUAUAAUAUUUUUCAUGUAAGAAAGAACUAGAUAAUGCUCAAAAAAAAAAAUUGUACAUGGAAGAAAACAAAGAAUCAGUAAAGAGUGAGGAUUUUUUUUUUUCUUAAACACUUCCAUGUUAACUUAGUUAUGUCCAAAUUACUGCUUGAACUUGGAGAACUGGGAGAAGGAAAGACUGCAGCAGUCUGGAAGGUUGUGCUGCAAAUGAAACUGCUGUUCUAGAUAAAAACAUAAACUAUCCUAAUUCAGUGUAAUUAUCCAAUUGUGCCUGGAUUUUGACUAUGCGAGACACUGGGAAAGUCUUCUGAGAGCCUGGAGAUAUUCUGAAGCAUAACAUGCUGCCAGUGAAGAUUUAUCUACAGUUUCACCUGAUAAGAUUUUUCAUCUUGUUUUGAACAGCAUAAUUUACCAUAGUCAGCAUGCUGUAUUGCAUUCAUAUAUGUAGAGAAGAGCUGGAUUGAUUAUCCUCAGGCUUCCUGCCACUAAACUCAGCAAAUUAGUUGCUCAUGAUUCCAGCAA
Athene cunicularia (burrowing owl) is the source of this 7178-nucleotide long non-coding RNA. RefSeq lists it as uncharacterized. The transcript is spliced from 3 exons. NCBI's taxonomy places the organism in Eukaryota, Metazoa, Chordata, Aves, Strigiformes, Strigidae. The record is from RefSeq and is a predicted model, not a curated record.